Pholiota molesta is the source of this 88-nucleotide non-coding RNA. The record is from the annotation of a GenBank genome assembly. NCBI's taxonomy places the organism in Eukaryota, Fungi, Basidiomycota, Agaricomycetes, Agaricales, Strophariaceae.
GCCGUCGUAGCACAAUGGUAGUGCGUUGCUUUCCUAAGCGCUUGCUUACGUAAGGCAGAGGCUGUGGGUUCGAUCCCCACCGUCGGUU